RNAcentral lists this microRNA precursor (292 nucleotides) under Oryza sativa (Asian cultivated rice). Its description in RNAcentral is "miR5484 stem-loop (osa-MIR5484)". Lineage: Eukaryota; Viridiplantae; Streptophyta; Magnoliopsida; Poales; Poaceae. The record is from miRBase by way of RNAcentral.
GGCGGCCGGCUGCGGCGACGGCGGCUUGGAUGGGUCGCCUUCCUCCCUUGCUGCUCGGAUGAACCCUCGCCGCAUGCAUCGCGAUCUUGAUAUUCUUGGCAUGGAAUUAAUAGCGUCUCUUUUUUAUCCCCCUUACGGUUCUUGAUCUCCAGCGCUUCUCUGAAUUCUCUGGUUCUUCUUGCUCGCUCAAUUUACUUGUUUUGUUUUCUCGAUUGAUUGGUUGCCUGAUCAGCUGUGCUGUGGAUGCAUGCGAUGUUGCAAAACCGAGCGCGCUGUUGAUUAAUCUUAUCUC